GACUGGGAUAACACCUGGAAACAGAUGCUAAUACCGGAUAACAACACUAGACGCAUGUCUAGAGUUUGAAAGAUGGUUCUGCUAUCACUCUUGGAUGGACCUGCGGUGCAUUAGCUAGUUGGUAAGGUAACGGCUUACCAAGGCAAUGAUGCAUAGCCGAGUUGAGAGACUGAUCGGCCACAUUGGGACUGAGACACGGCCCAAACUCCUACGGGAGGCAGCAGUAGGGAAUCUUCCACAAUGGACGAAAGUCUGAUGGAGCAACGCCGCGUGAGUGAAGAAGGGUUUCGGCUCGUAAAGCUCUGUUGGUAGUGAAGAAAGAUAGAGGUAGUAACUGGCCUUUAUUUGACGGUAAUUACUUAGAAAGUCACGGCUAACUACGUGCCAGCAGCCGCGGUAAUACGUAGGUGGCAAGCGUUGUCCGGAUUUAUUGGGCGUAAAGCGAGUGCAGGCGGUUCAAUAAGUCUGAUGUGAAAGCCUUCGGCUCAACCGGAGAAUUGCAUCAGAAACUGUUGAACUUGAGUGCAGAAGAGGAGAGUGGAACUCCAUGUGUAGCGGUGGAAUGCGUAGAUAUAUGGAAGAACACCAGUGGCGAAGGCGGCUCUCUGGUCUGCAACUGACGCUGAGGCUCGAAAGCAUGGGUAGCGAACAGGAUUAGAUACCCUGGUAGUCCAUGCCGUAAACGACCAGUACUGAGUGUUGGGAGGUUUCCGCCUCUCAGUGCUGCAG
This 729-nucleotide ribosomal RNA is filed under the name uncultured bacterium. RNAcentral's name for it is "bacterial SSU rRNA". It matches the Rfam family "Bacterial small subunit ribosomal RNA", at positions 136 to 851 of the family's 1533-position model. The record is from RNAcentral.